CCUACGGGAGGCAGCAGUGAGGAAUAUUGGUCAAUGGACGCGAGUCUGAACCAGCCAAGUAGCGUGAAGGAUGACUGCCCUAUGGGUUGUAAACUUCUUUUAUAUGGGAAUAAAAUGUUCCACGUGUGGGCUUUUGUAUGUACCAUAUGAAUGAGGAUCGGCUAACUCCGUGCCAGCAGCCGCGGUAAUACGGAGGAUCCGAGCGUUAUCCGGAUUUAUUGGGUUUAACGGGAGCGUAGGUGGAUUGUUAAGUCAGUUGUGAAAGUUUGCGGCUCAACCGUAAAAUUGCAGUUGAAACUGGCAGUCUUGAGUACAGUAGAGGUGGGCGGAAUUCGUGGUGUAGCGGUGAAAUGCGUAGAUAUCACGAAGAACUCCGAUUGCGAAGGCAGCUCACUGGACUGAAACUGACACUGAGGCUCGAAAGUGUGGGUAUCAAACAGGAUUAGAUACCCCGGUAGUC
Molecule: ribosomal RNA, 460 nt
Filed under: uncultured bacterium
Lineage: Bacteria
Description: partial 16S ribosomal RNA
Rfam family: Bacterial small subunit ribosomal RNA
Source: RNAcentral